Molecule: ribosomal RNA, 319 nt
Filed under: uncultured bacterium
Lineage: Bacteria
Description: bacterial SSU rRNA
Rfam family: Bacterial small subunit ribosomal RNA
Source: RNAcentral
AGUGGUACUUCGUACGGUUUGUGGUAGGAAAGUUCUUUUGGCGGUGGUGGAUGGGCCCGCGGCCUAUCAGCUUGUUGGUGGGUAAUGGCCUACCAAGGCGACGACGGGUAGCCGGCCUGAGAGGGUGUCCGGCCACACUGGGACUGAGAUACGGCCCAGACUCCUACGGGAGGCAGCAGUGGGGAAUAUUGCACAAUGGGCGCAAGCCUGAUGCAGCGACGCCGCGUGAGGGAUGACGGCCUUCGGGUUGUAAACCUCUUUCAAUAGGGACGAAGCGCAAGUGACGGUACCUAUAGAAGAAGCACCGGCCAACUACGUG